UCUAUAUAUGUAUGAUGUUUUCUUUCUCUUUUGAUUCAGAAAAUCAUACGCGGGAAAAGCUGCGAAUGUCCGUCGGUGCUUUCAUUCAUCGCUGAAAAUACGCAGAAGGGGGUGGAGAACGGAGAAAUGGGGGUCGAGAGCGAACGCGACUCAUUCACGUGUUAUGCACGCGACAUUAUCACGUUGUUUCUGCACGUCUCAUCCGCUGCUGUUAUGGACAAUGAUACCUAUCACAUUGUUUUACAUGAGGGAAAUCUCUCCUUAAUGAAAAUGUUUUCUCACUCUUGUUGCAACGAUGGCGGUUACUAUUUUCGUACAACUGGGAGAGCAGAACAUGCCUGGUAGAGGCAGAGAUAAAUAGAAAGGGAGAAAGAGAGAGAAAAGGUGAUAGGAAAGAGAUGGAAAAAAGGGUGAUCGUACUCAUGAAAAAU
Molecule: long non-coding RNA, 431 nt
Organism: Cataglyphis hispanica
Lineage: Eukaryota; Metazoa; Arthropoda; Insecta; Hymenoptera; Formicidae
Exons: 3
Source: RefSeq, a predicted model, not a curated record